GUCCUUUAGAUAAGAAUUUAAGGUCUAACCUGCCCAUUGAGGAAUUAAAAGGCCGCAGUAUUUUGACUGUGCAAAGGUAGCAUAAUCAUUAGUUUUUUAAUUGAAAGCUUGUAUGAAUGGUUGGACGAGAUAUAGACUGUCUUUAAGUUAUAAGUAGAAUUUAAUUUUUAAGUUAAAAAGCUUAAAUAAUUUUAAAAGACGAUAAGACCCUAUAGAUCUUAAUAUUUAUAUUUUAUAUAAAAUUUUUGGAUUAAUAGUUUUUAUAUAAUUUUGUGUAUUUUAUUGGGGUAAUAAAAAGAUUUAAUAAAUUCUUUUUUUAUUAACAUUGAUGAUUGAGUUUUAUGAUCCAUUAUUAUUGAUUAAAAGAUUAAGUUACCUUAGGGAUAACAGCGUAAUUUUUUUAGAGAGUUCUUAUCGAUAAAAAAGUUUGCGACCUCGAUGUUGGAUUAAAAUUAAUUUUAGGUGUAGAAGUUUAAAGUUUUAGUCUGUUCGACUAUUAAAAUUUUACA
Molecule: ribosomal RNA, 509 nt
Filed under: Uvarus spretus
Lineage: Eukaryota; Metazoa; Arthropoda; Insecta; Coleoptera; Dytiscidae
Description: partial 16S ribosomal RNA
Rfam family: Bacterial large subunit ribosomal RNA
Source: RNAcentral